GAUGAAGAACGUAGCGAAAUGCGAUACGUAAUGUGAAUUGCAGAAUUCAGUGAAUCAUCGAAUCUUUGAACGCAUAUUGCGCUCUCUGGUAUUCCGGAGAGCAUGCUUGUUUGAGUAUCAGUAAACACCUCAACUCCCCUUUCUUUUUUUGAAAUGGGAGCUGGACUUGAGUGAUCCCAACGCUUUUCUCACCGAAAAGUGGCGGGUUACUUGAAAUGCAGGUGCAGCUUGACUUUUCUCUGAGCUAAAAGCAUAUCUAUUUAGUCUGCCUAAAAAACAGAUUAUUACCUUUGCUGCAGCUAACAUAAAGGAGAUUAGUUCUUGUGCUGACUGAUGCAGGAUUCACAGAGACAGCUUCGGCUGGCCUUUGUAAACUCGAUCUCAAAUCAAGUAAGACUACCCGCUGAACUUAAGCAUAUCAAUAAGCGGAGGA
Molecule: unclassified non-coding RNA, 433 nt
Filed under: soil metagenome
Description: partial contains 5.8S ribosomal RNA, internal transcribed spacer 2, and large subunit ribosomal RNA
Rfam family: 5.8S ribosomal RNA (bases 1-120)
Source: RNAcentral